AAAUGAAUAGACGGGGACCCGCACAAGCAGUGGAUUAUGUGGUUUAAUUCGAAGCAACGCGAAGAACCUUACCAGGGCUUGACAUCCCACUAACGAAGCAGAAAUGCAUUAGGUGCCCUUCGGGGAAAGUGGAGACAGGUGGUGCAUGGUUGUCGUCAGCUCGUGUCGUGAGAUGUUGGGUUAAGUCCCGCAACGAGCGCAACCCUUAUUGUUAGUUGAUACAGUUCGGCUGAUCACUCUAGCGAGACUGCCGUUGACAAAACGGAGGAAGGUGGGGACGACGUCAAAUCAUCAUGCCCCUUAUGUCCUGGGCUACACACGUAAUACAAUGGCGAUUAACAGAGGGAGGCAAUACCGCGAGGUGGAGCAAAACCCUAAACAUCGUCUCAGUUCAGAUUGCAGGCUGCAACCCGCCUGCAUGAAGGCGGAAUUGCUAGUAAUCGCGGAUCAGCAUGCCGCGGUGAAUACGUUCCCGGGUCUUGUACACACCGCCCGU
This 496-nucleotide ribosomal RNA is filed under the name uncultured bacterium. RNAcentral's name for it is "bacterial SSU rRNA". It matches the Rfam family "Bacterial small subunit ribosomal RNA", at positions 903 to 1397 of the family's 1533-position model. The record is from RNAcentral.